This 56-nucleotide small RNA is filed under the name Caenorhabditis elegans. RNAcentral describes it as "Unclassified non-coding RNA C41C4.20". The record is from RNAcentral. Lineage: Eukaryota; Metazoa; Nematoda; Chromadorea; Rhabditida; Rhabditidae.
CCUGGUAAUUCAUAAGAUGACAUUGUCUGAUCCCUCUUACUUUUCAAAUUUUUUCC